This 453-nucleotide ribosomal RNA is filed under the name uncultured bacterium. RNAcentral's name for it is "bacterial SSU rRNA". It matches the Rfam family "Bacterial small subunit ribosomal RNA", at positions 340 to 784 of the family's 1533-position model. The record is from RNAcentral.
UACGGAAGGCAGCAGUGGGGAAUAUUGCACAAUGGGCGCAAGCCUGAUGCAGCCAUGCCGCGUGUAUGAAAAAGGCCUUCGGGUUGUAAAGUACUUUCAGUCGUGAGGAAGGUGUUAAGGUUAAUAACCUUAGCAAUUGACGUUAGCAACAGAAGAAGCACCGGCUAACUCCGUGCCAGCAGCCGCGGUAAUACGGAGGGUGCGAGCGUUAAUCGGAAUUACUGGGCGUAAAGGGCACGCAGGCGGUUAAUUAAGUUGGAUGUGAAAUCCCCGGGCUUAACCUGGGAAUGGCAUUCAAGACUGGUUAGCUAGAGUCUUGUAGAGGGGGUAGAAUUCCGAUGUGUAGCGGUGAAAUGCGUAGAGAUGUGGAGGAAUACCGGUGGCGAAGGCGGCCCCUGGACAAAGACUGACGCUCAUGUGCGAAAGCGUGGGGAGCGAAACAGGGAUUAGAUA